This 774-nucleotide long non-coding RNA is filed under the name Serinus canaria (Common canary). RNAcentral's name for it is "lncRNA (ENSSCAG00000016400.1)". Lineage: Eukaryota; Metazoa; Chordata; Aves; Passeriformes; Fringillidae. The record is from RNAcentral.
GAACGACUGGAAGUACAGGUGGUUGGCCUGUACAUGGGGGAGGGGGUGGAUCUGGUACUUGGAAAGAUGAGCUGCAGAUCAGCCAGCCUUUGCCACCGUAGGCAGCACCAUGCAGAAGAACAGCUGGGGUCCUGCCUGCCUGUGGACAGGAAGUCCUGUUUCCCACAAAAGCUGAGCUCCAGAGGAGUUGGUGCCCUCAAGAAGUGAGAUGUCAGCUCAGCCUACACCCAUCGUCUGCUUAUGAUGUGAUUUGGUACAAGGUGGUCUGAACAGGUCUUCAUGCCCUACUUCCUGUUGCGACAUGCGUCCGACAGCCGGUGAUCUCUCUGACCCGGCUGGCAGCGCAGUGGCUGGAGAUGGGCCGCAACACGUGGUGGAGAAUGUGGGCACCCAUCGUGGGGCAUUGAAGAGUGCCAACCCCCCAGCAAAUGUGAGGUAUUGAGGACAUCUCAGAGAGACUAACAGUGUGAGGCCCUAGAACACUGUGGGCUUUGGUACUCAGGAGUGAGGUUUUGCGAGGAUCAGCAGAGAAGAGUGGGGAUGUAAGCUUUCAAUUUUAAGUCUUGCUUUCAUUUAAAAGCUGCCAAAGAAGACCCUAAAACAAUUACAUCAACACUUUAAGAUCAAAAUAAUCAACCCCCACUCCCCUCUAGAAUUUUUCUUAAAUUUAAUUGAUUUCUUUUGAGAUGCAUUCAUUGUGUUGUUGUUUUGUUAUGUUGUCAGGAUGCUAAGAGAUUAUUUUUCAUUUCAAUAAAGUAAUAAUUUAAAUUUUCA